UCCACGUUGGGCGGUCCAAGUGCUCUCCUAAGCUGUCUGCUUGAGCAGGUUGGCUUGUACUAGGCUUGUGUUCUGCCCGUGCCAAGGGAGAGAAACAACAACAGGAAAUGGCUGCUAAUACCCUGUAGCUGGUCUGAGGGGAUGAUCAACCACACUGGGGCUGAGACACGACCCAGAAUCCUACGAGAAGCAACAAUGGGGAAUUUUACGCAAUGGGCGAAAGCCUGAUAGAGCAAUUCCGUGUGGAGGUAGAAGGCCUAUGGGUCAUGAACUUCUUUUCUCGGAGAAGAAGCAAUGAAAGUUUUGAACUGUUUAUCAGAAUAGGACAAAUAUUAUAUGCAUAUGGGGUAGA
Molecule: non-coding RNA, 352 nt
Filed under: Lupinus angustifolius (narrow-leaved blue lupine)
Lineage: Eukaryota; Viridiplantae; Streptophyta; Magnoliopsida; Fabales; Fabaceae
Description: Bacterial small subunit ribosomal RNA
Rfam family: Bacterial small subunit ribosomal RNA
Source: Rfam by way of RNAcentral